This 484-nucleotide ribosomal RNA is filed under the name uncultured bacterium. Its description in RNAcentral is "partial 16S ribosomal RNA". It matches the Rfam family "Bacterial small subunit ribosomal RNA", at positions 28 to 523 of the family's 1533-position model. The record is from RNAcentral.
GACGAACGCUGGCGGCGUGCUUAACACAUGCAAGUCGAACGAUGAACCCGGAGCUUGCUCCGGCGGAUUAGUGGCGAACGGGUGAGUAACACGUGAGUAACCUGCCCUUGACUCUGGGAUAACUGCUAGAAAUGGUAGCUAAUACCGGAUACGACCCUCGGUGGCAUCACCAGGGGGUGGAAAGAAUUUCGGUCAAGGAUGGACUCGCGGCCUAUCAGCUAGUUGGUGAGGUAACGGCUCACCAAGGCGACGACGGGUAGCCGGCCUGAGAGGGUGACCGGCCACACUGGGACUGAGACACGGCCCAGACUCCUACGGGAGGCAGCAGCGGAGAAUAUUGCACAAUGGGCGCAAGCCUGAUGCAGCAACGCCGCGUGAGGGAUGACGGCCUUCGGGUUGUAAACCUCUUUUAGUAGGGAAGAAGCGAAAGUGACGGUACCUGCAGAAGAAGCACCGGCUAACUACGUGCCAGCCGCCGCUGUAA